Molecule: long non-coding RNA, 351 nt
Organism: Octopus sinensis (East Asian common octopus)
Lineage: Eukaryota; Metazoa; Mollusca; Cephalopoda; Octopoda; Octopodidae
Exons: 3
Source: RefSeq, a predicted model, not a curated record
UCAAUAAACACUAAACAACUCACCCAGGUUACAACACUGCACUGUUCGCAAACUACUUCACCAUGGAUCAACAGCGAAUAUACAACCUGUGAGAACUCCAGUACCAAGUGACCCAGGUAGCAGCAUCACAGCCACAACUUCACGUACGACGUGUACCGCAACCAGCUCUGCAUCAACGCCGCAACUUCUUGAUACAGUAUUUCAACUAUCAUGUACAGUUGACUACGAACUAGUAUUCAUCAUUCUUUUGUCAAUGAACUUACUCCUCACUUCGAUGGCUACAGACUCCUUCACUGUCCCUUCUUCAUCGCCAUCCUUGUAUGUUCUUAACGUGCAUACAUCUAUGCCUAC